UUGAAGGCAUUGAGAAGGGGCUAUCAUCACCAUGGUCACCAUUUCUGUUGAUGUCAACAGAACAACAUUGCCCGAUGACCCACCACUAUGGAAGAUCAAGGACUGAACUAUGAGCCGUGCUGGAUCCAUGGUGGUGACUAUCUCUUGCUUCCUAUAAAGACUCCUUGCUGUUUCUUUCCUACCUUUUCUAUUGCUGUCCUUCCCUUCCCCAUUACCCUAAUUCAUAAUAGUGUCCAUCCUCCCCUUCCCCAUCUCCCUAAUUAAGAUUGGUCAGACCAACAUUUGAUUGUUUCUUAAUCUCACACUGGGUAUACAGAUAUUAAAAGAACCUCUUCUCCCUCCUAUAAAUUGCAGUGAGACAGAAGCCUUACCUUCAGUUUACCUGGAAUUCAUAAGGAACAAUUACUUACUUUAUUUUUUCCUGGCUGAAUUGCAGGGGCUGACACCAUUUGAGGAUGCUUCUUGUUUCCAUGUCUCUUAGCUAAGAUAUGCAAGUGGGAUAUCUGCACCCUCACUUGCAGACAUCUCUUCAACUGCUGCUACGUGUUCAAGCACUCAUUGGGCUGAAUAAGCCAGGGGUUGGUUUGGGCAGGGAAGUUUGCUAGCAGAAUUGCUGUAGGCUUGGACAACCUUCACCUCUCACACAGCAUCUCCAAGAAAAAAAAAACAAUGUAGAGAGGAGAAAAGGGAAAAUAAUUCCUUUCCCUGUGAUUUGUUUGUUGCGCAGCCUGGCUGGGAAGGAUAAGGUGUGCAUUAAAACCACUUCAGUGCACCCUCAAUUAAUACCACAAACGUUGCCUUCCCAGCCUGGUCUUCCUGAAUUCUCACAAGUCCACUCAAGCUUUCAAAGUGUCAGUCAAGCAUUUGGAUUUUCAAACUCAUGGAUUACUGCUUUGAGCACCAGGGAUUGGAGCAGUAAUACCACUGUUAAAUCUCAUGGUACUUACUAUUCUCUCACAUCAUCAGCUUCCAAGUUCUUAACUGGUUGGCUAAGGCAAAGCUGGGCAGCUGCCAAAAUGAGCAACACUGGUGGAUGUAGAGGAGAGCUGGACAAGGAUGGAGCAUGCUUGAGGAGAUGA
RNAcentral lists this long non-coding RNA (1079 nucleotides) under Phasianus colchicus (ring-necked pheasant). RNAcentral's name for it is "lncRNA (ENSPCLG00000018479.1)". The record is from RNAcentral. Lineage: Eukaryota; Metazoa; Chordata; Aves; Galliformes; Phasianidae.